This 465-nucleotide ribosomal RNA is filed under the name uncultured bacterium. RNAcentral describes it as "partial 16S ribosomal RNA". It matches the Rfam family "Bacterial small subunit ribosomal RNA", at positions 28 to 507 of the family's 1533-position model. The record is from RNAcentral.
GACGAACGCUGGCGGCGUGCUUAACACAUGCAAGUCGAACGGAAAGGCCCUGCUUGCAGGGUACUCGAGUGGCGAACGGGUGAGUAACACGUGGGUGAUCUGCCCUGCACUUCGGGAUAAGCCUGGGAAACUGGGUCUAAUACCGGAUAGGAGCCAUUUUUAGUGUGAUGGUUGGAAAGUUUUUUCGGUGUAGGAUGAGCUCGCGGCCUAUCAGCUUGUUGGUGGGGUAAUGGCCUACCAAGGCGGCGACGGGUAGCCGGCCUGAGAGGGUGGACGGCCACAUUGGGAAUGAGAUAAGGCCCAGUCGCCUACGGGAGGCAGCAGUGGGGAAUAUUGCACAAUGGGCGCAAGCCUGAUGCAGCGACGCCGCGUGGGGGAUGACGGCCUUCGGGUUGUAAACUCCUUUCGCUAGGGACGAAGCUUUUUGUGACGGUACCUAGAUAAGAAGCACCGGCUAACUACGUG